RNAcentral lists this ribosomal RNA (451 nucleotides) under uncultured bacterium. Its description in RNAcentral is "bacterial SSU rRNA". It matches the Rfam family "Bacterial small subunit ribosomal RNA", at positions 354 to 796 of the family's 1533-position model. The record is from RNAcentral.
GUGGGGAAUAUUGCGCAAUGGGCGAAAGCCUGACGCAGCAACGCCGCGUGGGGGAUGAAGGUUCUCGGAUUGUAAACCCCUUUCGACCGGAACGAAUCCCCUCCUGGUGAACAGUCAGGAGGGUCGACGGUACCGGGAGAAGAAGCCACGGCUAACUCUGUGCCAGCAGCCGCGGUAAGACAGAGGUGGCUAGCGUUGUUCGGAUUUAUUGGGCGUAAAGCGCACGCAGGCGGUUUGGUAAGUCAGAGGUGAAAUUCCGCAGCUUAACUGCGGAACUGCCUUUGAUACUGCCUUUCUCGAGUGCAUGAGGGGGAAGCGGAAUUCCGAGUGUAGAGGUGAAAUUCGUAGAUAUUCGGAGGAACACCGGUGGCGAAGGCGGCUUCCUGGCAUGUAACUGACGCUCAGGUGCGAAAGCGUGGGUAGCAAACAGGAUUAGAUACCCGAGUAGUCC